Molecule: long non-coding RNA, 118 nt
Organism: Solanum stenotomum
Lineage: Eukaryota; Viridiplantae; Streptophyta; Magnoliopsida; Solanales; Solanaceae
Exons: 2
Source: RefSeq, a predicted model, not a curated record
CUGCCACAGCAUUCUGCAUAAGCGACUUGGCUUUAGAUUUCUUUGCCUUCUCUUCGUUGUUGGAUUUGAUUUGAGCCAAGGUAGGAUUUGCUGGUAGAGCAGCAAGUGGUUUAUCUUC